Molecule: long non-coding RNA, 1596 nt
Filed under: Struthio camelus australis
Lineage: Eukaryota; Metazoa; Chordata; Aves; Struthioniformes; Struthionidae
Description: lncRNA (ENSSCUG00000015835.1)
Source: RNAcentral
CUAAAUAUGAUAAACAGAAUGGCAUGUCUAAUGCUCUGCAAGCCAAACUGCUGCACUGUCUUCUCUUGUGACUUUAUCUCUUUUGUUGGAUCUGUAGGAUGAGAAGCCAAAUGACAAGGCAGGCCCACGAAGAACUUUGCUUAAGGCAGACAAGCAGUUGCCAAAACCAACCUCUGGGAGGUCUGAGAAGAAAUGAUCAAAACGUUGCUGUGUGAUUGCAUCCACUCUGCCAGAAUCUGCAGCACCAGGUUGAGACAGAUCCCUUCACGCUAUUGUGCCCUUCAGGAAUACUGUCAAAUUCAAUCAUUCAGGACUCGCUUCCUAUAUGUUUUGGUCUGCAUUUACGGUUGGAGGCGUUUCAUGCUUUCCGUGUUGGAUAGAGACGACCAGAUAUCUAGAAAAUGAAGAGCCAAAGAUGUGGUAUAUUGCACCUGCUCCAGCUAUUACUGAAAUUCCAGCUGCAGAGGAGUUACAGAAGGAACUGGAAAAAAACACAGUCUACAGUCAUAUGGGAGAGAGACAGCAUCAGAAGUUUAUACAGCCGUGCAAGAGAAAUACUGAGGAAGUAAAUGAGAAGUCACGAGCACCUGUUCAUUUUGGGAUAGCUUCUAAAAAAGAAGAGCUCCAGUUAGGUUUAGGAGAAAAGGAUAAAACUAAUUUUCAGUGUGAAAGUCUGAAAAUGGUUUCAUCAUUUCUCUCAUCUGACCAAGAUAAAUAUAAAACAGGAAUUGGGGCUUGUCAACAACCUGGUGCAAAUAUGUCACAAAACAAAAUAUUAAUUAAUCUUCCAGACAACAGUGAUGAUGAAAGUAUCCAUUCAACAUUAAGAAAAAGGUAUGUUUCUAGGCAAUUAUGAUAAUCUGUCUAUUAGCCGAAUCAUAUUAUUGUUUCAGGUGUAUUUGUCAAAUGCAGAGAUUUGGAUUCUUAAAUGAAAGUGCCUUAAUAGGGCUACAGGCACUCAUUUUUUUGAAUGUAAGGAGAAAAAGAAAUUCCUUCUGGCAGUCUUUUAGUACUGUAAUUGUAUGUGUCCUGAGCUCAACCUGCUUUACAAGGAAGGUAAGGAGGAGGUUGGUUUGAUUAAUUUUAAAUAAGCUAUCAGAUAACAAGGGUUCUUUGAAAUACUGUUUUUAGUUGUUCAUCUACUUGGUAAAGAGCAAGAAAACUAAGGUCACUUCCUUUUCAGAGGAGGGUUCAGGUAGCCAAGAAUACCUAUGUUAUUUCAGUGCUCUCCGGGAGGAGGAGUUUUACAGGUAAAUUCAGCUUCUAUGCCCAGCUCUUCUCAGUCCUCAAAAGCUGUACGCCUCUAUUCUUUUUAGUUACGCAGAGACUGACAAUUAAUUUGCUAUAGGGAUUGAGACCCCAUCUGGACAAGUCGUUUAUUCUUUCAGCCCUGGAAUGAAAGUAAAACUAAAUUUAUUGUGAAAGGAGUCUUCUUCAGGUAGAAAAAUGUCAGUUGAAGCAUAUAAAAUAAGAUCCAAACUUAUUCUAUGACUAUACCUUACUAGUUUUGCCUGCAAUAUAAACGUGCAUCUUUUUCAAAUGUUAGAGAAACUGCAUAAUGUAUAAUAAAUUGAUGAAGAUCCUGUAUCCUUUGCA